CGCCUGUUUAUCAAAAACAUGUCUGUUUGUAGGUAGAAACAGUCUGGCCUGCUCACUGAGAUAUAAAUUAAAGAGCCGCGGUAUAUUGACCGUGCAAAGGUAGCAUAAUCAUUAGUUUUUUAAUUGGGAACUUGUAUGAAUGGUUGGACAAGAGAAAAGCUGUCUAUAUUAUAAAUUUUGAAUUUAACUUUUAAGUGAAAAGGCUUAAAUAAUUUAAGGGGACGAUAAGACCCUAUAAAACUUUAUAUGUUAAUUAGAUUUAGUUGUAUUUUAAAAAUUAAGUUUAAUGUCGUAUUUUAUUGGGGCGAUAAAGGUAUAAAUAAUAUUAACUGUUUAGAAUAAAAACAAUAGUUUUUGAAUUAAAUAAAUGAUCCUUUGCUAAAGAAUAAAAGACUAAGUUACUUUAGGGAUAACAGCGUAAUUUUUUUUAAGAGUUCAUAUCGAAAAAGAAGAUUGCGACCUCGAUGUUGAAUUAAAAUGUCUGUUUAGGGCAGCUCCUAAACAAGAAGAUCUGUUCGAUCUUUAAAUUUUUACAUGAUCUGAGUUCAAACCGG
RNAcentral lists this ribosomal RNA (554 nucleotides) under Heteropanope glabra. RNAcentral describes it as "partial large subunit ribosomal RNA". It matches the Rfam family "Bacterial large subunit ribosomal RNA", at positions 1797 to 2619 of the family's 2925-position model. The record is from RNAcentral. Lineage: Eukaryota; Metazoa; Arthropoda; Malacostraca; Decapoda; Pilumnidae.